Ciona intestinalis (vase tunicate) is the source of this 903-nucleotide non-coding RNA. Lineage: Eukaryota; Metazoa; Chordata; Ascidiacea; Phlebobranchia; Cionidae. The record is from RefSeq and is a predicted model, not a curated record.
GCAAGCAUGAAGGAGUUCAUACGCGCUGACUCGAAUAAAACCGCCGUUGUUUUAAGAUUUGUGUUGGAAAACUAUAAUGCAUUAUCUUGGUUGACAAAGGACCCAGUAACCAAAGAUCGGCGUUCGUGUCUCCCCGUACAUUGUUUAUCACUCAUGCAACUUUAUCAUACAGUGCGGAAUUUAUUAGGUUGACUACAUUUGUUUGCACACUGGCAACCUUUACUGUUUGAACGCUCAUGUUGCCUUUCAUUCAAUUUACUGCAGUCUUAUAAACCAGAGUUUACAAGUUUUGACAACUUUUUGAUACAAUUUGUUCCGUUAGUUUCAUGCAUACUGCUGGAGCAAAAAUAAGUUACAAAAAUAUUUCUAUCAAUUUUGUAUGAUCUUCGCAAGCCUCAUAGAAUUAAUUUUUAUAUCUUUCAUUUUCUCUUCUUUUCAAUGCAAUAUGCGCAGUUUGUUGCGCUUUGGAUGAAAUACAUUGGGCAGCACUUGAUAAUGAGAGUACAACACCAGCUGCUUUGAGAGUGUGCAAUACUUCAAUGAUGCUGGUAGUAUAACUUGGAUCCUAACCCCACAAACCCCCAUUCCCCCCUGUGAUACAAGUCACUGCCCUUCUCGCCAAAGCUCUUGUUGCUUUGUUAAAAAUUCUUUUUUUCUUAUCAGCGCCCAUGAAAUAGUUCGGCCGGCAUUUUGUCGUUCAUCCGUUUUUCUUGAUUUUUUUGAACAUUGAAAGCAGACACAUCAUUGCAAAUUGCUCCUUUACCUUUAAAGGUGUGUUAUAACUGUAGUACAUUCGAUGCGUUGCUUUCUUUGCGCUUGUUUUUCCUUGGUGGCUCAAAUAUCAUAGCCUUUUGUAUAUAAUUAUGUCUCUACUUGCGUAAAUAAACGAACUCGUCUUUCCAG